This is a long non-coding RNA of Homo sapiens (human), 475 nucleotides long. The record is from Ensembl. NCBI's taxonomy places the organism in Eukaryota, Metazoa, Chordata, Mammalia, Primates, Hominidae.
UGCAAGCUCCGCCUCCCGGGUUCACGCCAUUCUCCUGCCUCAGCCUCCCAAGUAGCUGGGACUACAGGCGCCCGCCACUACGCCCGGCUAAUUUUUUGUAUUUUUAGUAGAGACGGGGUUUCACCGUUUUAGCCGGGAUGGUCUCGAUCUCCUGACCUCGUGAUCCGCCCGCCUCGGCCUCCCAAAGUGCUGGGAUUACAGGCGUGAGCCACUGCGCCCGGCCACAGUGAUGUGGGACACACAGUGAUUUUCCAGCUCAUACUCUCGGAUUCUGGGCUGAGAUUUUGGGGCUGCCUCCUACGUAAGCCAACAAGGGCACACUGCAUAAGCUGAUGAGCAAUAAGUCCAGCACAUCCUGGGUAUCCUCGCACAAUCAUCCUUGAGCUAAGACCAGCCUCAUCAUCUGCUGAUCAGAUCUUAGCAUCUUCCGCACAGGUCGUGUCACCCUUCAAACAUAAGCUUUUCAUGAAUGAAG